CCUUCAAACUGUCGCCCCGGCGGCAUUAGUUGCCUCUCUGAGGCGGCGACACUGACAGUCUGGCGGGAACUCCCUGGGGCAAAUCCCCGGGGCCACCCGCAGCCGACCCUAAAAGGUCGGCCCACAGGCUAGAUGUCGGUGGGUCUGGGGCGCAGCGCCCCCGGGCUUCUGAUAUAGUCGACUCCCCGUGGAGACGCGGGGUGAGUCAAGGUCCGUAGGUGAACCUGCGGAAGGAUCAAU
This 240-nucleotide ribosomal RNA is filed under the name Scolecopeltidium wangtianshuiense. Its description in RNAcentral is "partial 18S ribosomal RNA". The record is from RNAcentral. Lineage: Eukaryota; Fungi; Ascomycota; Lecanoromycetes; Micropeltidales; Micropeltidaceae.